GAUGAACGCUAGCUCCCGGUCUUAACACAUGCAAGUCGAGGGGCAGCAUGUCGGUUGCUCGCAACCGAUGAUGGCGACCGGCGCACGGGUGAGUAACGCGUAUCCAACCUACCCUUGUCCAUCGGAUAACCCGUCGAAAGGCGGCCUAACACGAUAUGCGGUUCACCGCAGGCAUCUAAGGUGAACGAAAUGUGAAGGAGAAGGAUGGGGAUGCGUCUGAUUAGCUUGUUGGCGGGGUAACGGCCCACCAAGGCGACGAUCAGUAGGGGUUCUGAGAGGAAGGUCCCCCACAUUGGAACUGAGACACGGUCCAAACUCCUACGGGAGGCAGCAGUGAGGAAUAUUGGUCAAUGGGCGAGAGCCUGAACCAGCCAAGUAGCGUGAAGGAUGACUGCCCUAUGGGUUGUAAACUUCUUUUAUAAAGGAAUAAAGUCGGGUAUGGAUACCCGUUUGCAUGUACUUUAUGAAUAAGGAUCGGCUAACUCCGUGCCAGCAGCCGCGGUAAUACGGAGGAUCCGAGCGUUAUCCGGAUUUAUUGGGUUUAAAGGGAGCGUAGAUGGAUGUUUAAGUCAGUUGUGAAAGUUUGCGGCUCAACCGUAAAAUUGCAGUUGAUACUGGAUAUCUUGAGUGCAGUUGAGGCAGGCGGAAUUCGUGGUGUAGCGGUGAAAUGCUUAGAUAUCACGAAGAACUCCGAUUGCGAAGGCAGCCUGCUAAGCUGCAACUGACAUUGAGGCUCGAAAGUGUGGGUAUCAAACAGG
This 758-nucleotide ribosomal RNA is filed under the name uncultured bacterium. RNAcentral's name for it is "bacterial SSU rRNA". It matches the Rfam family "Bacterial small subunit ribosomal RNA", at positions 28 to 776 of the family's 1533-position model. The record is from RNAcentral.